CAUUUGAGAGAUUUGAGAGAGAGAGAGAGAGAGAGAGAGACUGGUCGAUGAUGCUGGAGAAAAAGUGAUGGGAGGGAACCUUGAGAAAUGAAAAUACUUUGGAGCCCCAUCCUCAUCUAAAACGCUCAAGGGAUACAUGUCAUAAGAGGAUUAAUGUUUUACUUUACAACUCCCUUGUCAUGUGCCAUGCUAGAUGCACAUGCAUUUCUCAAUAUCAAAUUUGGGUUCCUGGCAUCAAUCAUUAAGAUAUUUGAAAACAAGUUGUGGACUUUUGGGGGAUUUUCAACUGAAAUUAAGAUUUCGUUCUUUGAUAAGACACCAUGUAUGUAAAUACAUAUUAGGUAUAUGCAUAUGCACCCACAACCACAUGGAUGUAUACAUACACAAACAUUGUCAAGAAUUUAUAGAAAGAACUUUGGAUUCAUUAGGCAACAAUUUUGGAACUAGCUUUUUAUCUAAGCUUUGGUUUUAACCAUGACCUAAGAUCAAAUGGAAUUAAUAAGAGGCAUAGAGAUUUUAUUUUGGUAAGAAAAUAUCUGAAGGAGAAUAUUUAGACUAUGUUAUGUACUUGAAAAGGUGGAAAACAAAAAAGAAAAUGAAGCAUAAGAAGAAUUAGAGGUAUCUUAUUUUAUCCACUACUUCAUCCACUCAUGGUCUUCUAAUCAUCUUUACCAACUUUUUACACAUCUCAAAUAAGGACUAAAGAAGAGCUCUACAUUUUAAAUAUCAGUUUUAAGAUCUCUUGAGUUUGGAGAACCAUGUGCUAUAUGUAUGUAUGUAUGUAUGUAUGAAAUUUAAGAAGAGAUAGUAGGCAGCCUUAACUAAAAGUUUGUCUUUUUAGAAAAACAUCAGGGAUGCAUCACCAACAUAUUGCAACCUUGAACAUUUCCCCAAGAGAGCGAUAACAACCAACUGAACUAAAACGAGUUAUAUAAAAUGUUUUUAUUAACAAUUGUAUAUUGAAUCUACCAACUUUAGAGGGAAAGGAGUCGCUGAUGGUCUAAAUUUCGCGGGAGUAUUUUUUGGAGGCUGUUAAUGUAGCAUUGACUCUAUAAAAUGGUUGCUCUAAGAGAACAUAAAAACUUAUCGAUCAAUAUUUUUACCAAAAGACUUGGCAUUUGCAUCCAUGUAUAUCAAAAAGAUUGAGUUUAUUGUCUUAACAUUAUCCGCUCUCCACUACGCAGUUAUGUGGUUUGGGUUUGCUCAAGUAAAGGACCAUUCUAUAAUUGAGUUAGUUCACAAACCAAAAUUCAAAACCAAGCCAGGCCAACCAACUAAGAUUGGCUUGGUUUGGGUUAGUUCUGAUGUUACCUUUUUUUUUUGAAUAUAUAUAUAUAUAUAUUCUAUAAAGAAAACUUAUAGAAAAUAUAUAAUAGACGAUAUAAAACCAUGAAUAACCUAUUGAACAGUACUACAAAACUUAAAAGCUGAAAAAUGAAAAACUGUCUAAUAUAUGACAUGUAAUGACAAAAAUAAAACCAAUAUUCUAUUCAACAAAACCAAAAUUAACAUUUCUAAGUCUUUCAUCCUGCAAAUUAUGAGGUGAAAAAUAAAUUGAACAUGAGUAAACCAAGCCUAGAUCUAGCUUGAUCAUUUUAUAAUUGAAUUGAGCUUGAGUCAUUUUCGAGUCGUACUUAUGGUCUUCACAAACAACUCAGUUAAAAGAUCUAGUGGGAGCUUGAGAUCUUUCAAAGCUUAUGUUUACAUAGUUUGAGUUAAUUAUCUUGAUUAAAAUAAUAUAUAUUUCACAAAAUUAUGUUUUGAGAUUAAUUGAUAGUUUUUUACCUGAUUGGGGAGAAUGACGUAGUCGUCUCAAUCUACUCAACUCGAAUAUUUUUCUAAAAAUAAAAAAAUUAAAAAAAAAGUUGAUGAAAGUAAGGUCUAGAUCUCUCUUUAUUUCUUUAAUAAAUUAUAAAUUAAGUUACAUAGUCUCUAUUUAUACUAAUGAUGCCUGUUCUUGCACAUUUCAGACUUGAAUGUAUCUUUUACGAAAUAAAUAUGGCUAGUGGAAAUAAUUUUGAAAAACUUAAAAUUUUUUAGAAGGUAGAUCUUGACUUUUAUAUCGACCUUGCCUAUUGCCGCUUUGCUUAACUUUUCUCAGAUUAGAAUAUAUAUCUUGUUAAAGUCUUUCUUAUAAAGAAAUCUUUUGCAUUGACUGUCUUGUUUGUGGCUUAAAUAAUAGAAAAUGAUCUUUAUCGCUCGGUGCGCCAUAUGUUUAAGAGGUAGCAACACAUUGUGGAGCUUGAAAGUGUAUCCAAUUAAAAAAUAAAAAAAAACCUCAACUGAACGUUGCAAGUUAUAGCCUCCGAAAAUUUGGCAUAUGAUUUGGCUUUUCAAUUUGGUGGAUCUCACCCCUAAACUUGUUUAGUUCUUCCUAUAGUGGCCAAAGUAGUGCACAUCGAUUUUAGUUAUCAUUUUAGAUCAAUUUUAGUUUAGCUCUUUGACAAAUUGGGUGAGCUAAAUUUGGAUCAAAUUUUCAGCCAAACACACAGAGUGGGUAGAAAGGGUGUUGAUCGGUGGGGUAGAAGUAAGGAAAGGUCUCCUGGAAUUUAGAAUUUAGGCUAAUGCACUAUUUCUCCUUUCACCCUCAAACAAAUAAAUAUGAGGCUAAAUUUUAUCAAUAGUAUAAUAUCAAACAAAUCUUAAAAUAUAAUACAACAUUAAAAAUAUAAUACCAUAUAAUAUAUGUAAUAUAAUGUAAAUUGAUACUUGAUCUUGAAUGGAAUUAAAUCAUUUGAUUUUUCUAAACAAGAAAAAAUAAACCUAGCAAAAACUAAACCUAGCUAUGAGGCUUGUCCGAACGUCACAUUUCUACCAGCUAAAUGACAUGCAUAUGGGCUCCUCCCCUUGAGGAUCCCACACAAUAAUGCGGUUUUGGACUUGGGAUGACAGAAAAGUGCUCGUUGAGUGGACCAUUUGUUGCUCAUGCCUUUUUUUGUUGUUUUUUGACUGCCUCUCCGACUUGGAAUGGCGUGGCCACCAAGCGCCAACGCGAUGAAUCGAUGGAGCACUUCGUGCCAACCCACCACCAAGUGUCCUAAUGUCUUUAUGCUGAAUAUAAUACAUUUUCUCUGGAUAAGAAUGGGACACACUUCAUGAACAAAAAAGAAAUUAAGACUAUAUAUUAGAAAAUAUUGUAGUUUGGCUUCCGCUGUAAUUGCUACUUCUUUUACUCCACAUGCAGUGCACCAUACCCAUCACAUCCAUUUAUUUAUGGGAACACCAUUCAUCAAGCACUUAUUUCAAUACCCUGAAUGAAUGGCUAUAAUUGGCGAUCAUGUGAUGCAUAUAUAAUUUCUCCUUCUAGUGGCAUACCAUACCGGAUCGAACCGUGCCUAAAUUCCGAAAUGAUACUCAAACUUUGGAAAAGGCAGGUAUAUUGAUGUAAAAUUAGCUCAGUUUAUCUGUUAAAAUCUAAUCAUGAAGCACUCUUGGAUGGGAUCCUUUGUAUUAUAAACCAUCACAAAGCCAGAAAAAGGGAUUUCUUUUUGAGAAGAAGGAAAUAGGAUUCUUAACUUCGAUCCACAAACUCAAAGAGGAAUCUGGGAUUAAAAAAAGGCAUACCUGGAUUGGAGUGGCCGUUUUCCAAGCCGAAGGCCAUAGGGAAAUUGACCAACGGCAAGUCAGCAACAAGGCUUCCCUACAAACACCAGGAGAGGAAAUG
Molecule: long non-coding RNA, 3664 nt
Filed under: Phoenix dactylifera (date palm)
Lineage: Eukaryota; Viridiplantae; Streptophyta; Magnoliopsida; Arecales; Arecaceae
Description: long non-coding RNA (PDAC_LNC010359)
Source: RNAcentral